RNAcentral lists this ribosomal RNA (500 nucleotides) under uncultured bacterium. Its description in RNAcentral is "partial 16S ribosomal RNA". It matches the Rfam family "Bacterial small subunit ribosomal RNA", at positions 30 to 523 of the family's 1533-position model. The record is from RNAcentral.
AUUGAACGCUGGCGGCAGGCCUAACACAUGCAAGUCGAGCGGAUGAGAGGAGCUUGCUCCUCGAUUCAGCGGCGGACGGGUGAGUAAUGCCUAGGAAUCUGCCCAGUAGUGGGGGACAACGUUUCGAAAGGAACGCUAAUACCGCAUACGUCCUACGGGAGAAAGUGGGGGAUCUUCGGACCUCACGCUAUUGGAUGAGCCUAGGUCGGAUUAGCUAGUUGGUAGGGUAAAGGCCUACCAAGGCGACGAUCCGUAACUGGUCUGAGAGGAUGAUCAGUAACACUGGAACUGAGACACGGUCGAGACUUCUACGGGAGGCAGCAGUGGGGAAUAUUGGACAAUGGGCGCAAGCCUGAUCCAGCCAUGCCGCGUGUGUGAAGAAGGCCCUCGGGUCGUAAAGCACUUUAAGUUGGGAGGAAGGGCUUACAGCGAAUACCUGUGAGUUUUGACGUUACCGACAGAAUAAGCACCGGCUAACUUCGUGCCAGCAGCCGCAGUAA